UCACUGUAACGUUUCCCCAUUUAACAAAACAUUUAUUUAUGUCCACAGUCAUAUCAACUAGCAAAUAAAACAUCCAAACACUGUAAUGAACCUCCAAACACAGCAGAUCAAAUGUAAAUAUUAGAAGUAGUUAUAUUUUAUUAUUGGUCACAUCGGUGGUAUAAUACAGACAGCUGGAGCCAGGGGGUCAGAGGUCAGGGCUCUGCCCUGCUGGGUCAGGAGAGGAGGGGCUUAGUGGUACUUCCUCCAGCGGUCGUGCUCUGAGAGGAGAAGAAGAGAGGGAGAGAGAGAGAGAGAGGAGAAGGAGAGAGGGAGAAUGGAGAAGUGGGGACAGAGAGCGAGAGGGGACAGAGGUUAACGUCAGAUCGUCCUUCCCAGUGUCUGUACUCACUGAGGUGGUCGUACUCCCACAGUGUCUGUACUCCCACAGGGUUAGGGUUAGUACUCACUGAGGUGGUCGUACUCCCACAGUGCAGUGUCUGUACUCCCACAGUGUCUGUACUCCCACAGGGUUAGGGUUAGUACUCACUGAGGUGGUCGUACUCCCACAGUAUCUGUACUUACUGAGGUGGUCGUACUCCCCCAGUAUCUGUACUUACUGAGAUGGUCGUACUCCCACAGUGUCUGUACUCCCACAGGGUUAGGGUUAGUACUCACUGAGGUGGUCGUACUCCCACAGUGCAGUGUCUGUACUCCCACAGUGUCUGUACUCCCACAGGGUUAGGGUUAGUACUCACUGAGGUGGUCGUACUCCCCCAGUGUCUGUACUUACUGAGGUGGUCGUACUCCCCCAGUGUCUGUACUUACUGAGAUGGUCGUACUCCCACAGUGUCUGUACUUACUGAGAUGGUCGUACUCCCACAGUGUCUGUACUUACUGAGAUGGUCGUACUCCCACAGUAUCUGUACUUACUGAGAUGGUCGUACUCCCACAGUAUCUGUACUCCCACAGUGUCUGUACUCCCACAGUGUCUGUACUUACUGAGGUGGUCGUACUCCCCCAGGGUUAGUACUCACUGAGGUGGUCGUACUCCCCCAGGGUUAGGGUUAGUACUCACUGAGGUGGUCGUACUCCCACCAGGGUUAGGGUUAGUACUCACUGAGGUGGUCGUACUCCCCCAGGGUUAGGGUUAGUACUCACUGAGGUGGUCGUACUCCCCCAGGGUUAGGGUUAGUACUCACUGAGGUGGUCGUACUCCCACAGGGUUAGGGUUAGUACUCCCCCAGGGUUAGGGUUAGUACUCACGGAGGUGGUCGUACUCCCCCAGGGUUAGUACUCACUGAGGUGGUCGUACUCCCACCAGGGUUAGUACUCACGGAGGUGGUCGUACUCCCCCAGGGUUAGUACUCACUGAGGUGGUCGUACUCCCACCAGGGUUAGUACUCACUGAGGUGGUCGUACUCCCACCAGGGUUAGUACUCACUGAGGUGGUCGUACUCCCACCAGGGUUAGUACUCACUGAGGUGGUCGUACUCCCACCAGGGUUAGUACUCACUGAGGUGGUCGUACUCCCACCAGGGUUAGUACUCACUGAGG
Molecule: long non-coding RNA, 1536 nt
Filed under: Salmo salar (Atlantic salmon)
Lineage: Eukaryota; Metazoa; Chordata; Actinopteri; Salmoniformes; Salmonidae
Description: lncRNA (ENSSSAG00000108436.1)
Source: RNAcentral